UGGACGCUAAUCGCAUCCGGGCCCAUCCUUAUACAUCUGACCAUGUUGCCCCAGAUGCUCCGUCUUUGGACAUGGCUUAGGGCGCCAACACAGGAAUUUGAGGUGGGCACAGUUCACUACAGACCAAGGGGCGGCAGCUUCUGCUACUUGUUUAUUAACCUGUUCCUUGUCUCUAGAAUUGGGAGAAUAGUUGCCAAAUGAAAAUGUCCCCAGGACUUGUGGUCACUCUGUUUUAUAUGCUUGGGAAACUGGCCCUUUCUUGGGCUAUUUAACUCCAUGUCUUUAAAUAUAGUUACAUUAAUUUUCUAACACUGCAUAACAACUUGCCUCAAAAUUAGUGGCUUAACAGGACACUGACUUACUAGUCCCAGUUCCAUGGGUUGGAAGUCUAGCACAGUGUGGCUGCUCUUCUGCUCAGGGCCUCAGAGGCUGAAAUCCAUGUGCUGGGCUGAGGCUCUCAUCCGGGACUCGGGUCAUCUUCUGAGCUCACUCGCCCACCUCCUGUGGUUGUUGGACUGAGGUUCUGCUUUGUUGCAGGCCGUCAGUUGGGGGCUGCCCUCAGCUCCUAGUGGCCCCACAGUUCCUCGUCCAAGGACUGUGGGUAGUUGACAGCAAGUUGCUUUCUGCCGGGCAGGUAGGACUCGCCCCUGUGUCCUGCUCUUCUGCUGUGAGCUGGAGAAAACUCUGCUUUGAAUGACCGUGCUCUUUGGCUUACCCUAUUUUAAGGAUCGUGUCUGAACUCGUGCCCUCCUUGGCCCUCUGUCCUCGUCCCCCUGUCCCGUGUGGAUGCCUCGUCCUCCAGGCCAGCCGGCCACAAAGUGAUCCUCUUGCACUUCGGGGGCCCCUUGACCCAUCGGUGGGGUGCCUGCUGCUCUGACCCCUCCCUCCGGGUCCAAGGUCAGACGUUCCUCCGCACCGGCUCUCCUCUGGUCACUGUCUAAAGCAGCCCCUCCACCUGUUUCCUCUGCUUCGCUGCCUUCCUCUGCUUUCUUCACGGUGCUCAUCACUCUUUGCUGAUGAGUUUGUCAUGUCUCGUCACCAGCUGGAAUGGGAGCUCCCUGAGCACAAGGCCUGUGAUAACAUGUGAGCACACUUGUUGUCUCCGUAGGCAUGCCUGGGAUGAGUAUUUGAGCACCUUUCCUGAGACGUCGGAAAACACCAUGGCUUCCAACCAUACUUGGUUGAUAGUUUGGCUGGAUGUAGAAUUCCACAUGAAAGUCUCUUUUCCUCAGAACUUGGAAAGAAUUACUUCUUUUGCUGGUAGGAUUCACUGUUGCUGAUGAAAAGUCUGGUGCUGAGUCCCACUCCACUGUGAGCUCCUUUCCUCCCAGAACCUGUAGGACCCUUUCUUGUACCCUUGAUGUCUUCCACUUCCAGGACUUGGUUAGAUGUGGGGAUUUUCCCUCACUGUGCCAGGCACUCAGGCCUUUGUGGUCUGAUGGUUCUUCCAGCUGGGGAAAUACUUGAAUAAUUUUUCCCAAAUCAUGAAAUACUGCCUACAAAUGAGCAUAGAGAAAGAUACAAUGAACACCUGUGUACUUAUUACCCAGCUUAAGAAAUAAAAUAUUAAAGUAUAUUUGAAAGCUCCUUA
Molecule: long non-coding RNA, 1591 nt
Organism: Lontra canadensis (Northern American river otter)
Lineage: Eukaryota; Metazoa; Chordata; Mammalia; Carnivora; Mustelidae
Exons: 2
Source: RefSeq, a predicted model, not a curated record